RNAcentral lists this ribosomal RNA (468 nucleotides) under uncultured bacterium. Its description in RNAcentral is "partial 16S ribosomal RNA". It matches the Rfam family "Bacterial small subunit ribosomal RNA", at positions 28 to 507 of the family's 1533-position model. The record is from RNAcentral.
GACGAACGCUGGCGGCGUGCUUAACACAUGCAAGUCGAACGGAAAGGCCCUGCUUUUGUGGGGUGCUCGAGUGGCGAACGGGUGAGUAACACGUGAGUAACCUGCCCUUGACUUUGGGAUAACUUCAGGAAACUGGGGCUAAUACCGGAUAGGAGCUCCUGCUGCAUGGUGGGGGUUGGAAAGUUUCGGCGGUUGGGGAUGGACUCGCGGCUUAUCAGCUUGUUGGUGGGGUAGUGGCUUACCAAGGCUUUGACGGGUAGCCGGCCUGAGAGGGUGACCGGCCACAUUGGGACUGAGAUAGGGCCCAGACUCCUACGGGAGGCAGCAGGGGGGAAUAUUACACAAUGGGCGGGAGCCUGAUGCAGCAACGCCGCGUGCGGGAUGACGGCCUUCGGGUUGUAAACCUCUUUCGCCUGUGACGAAGCGUGAGUGACGGUAAUGGGUAAAGAAGCACCGGCUAACUACGUG